Mus musculus (house mouse) is the source of this 1800-nucleotide long non-coding RNA. RefSeq annotates it as predicted gene, 51775. The record is from RefSeq and is a predicted model, not a curated record. The transcript is spliced from 3 exons. Lineage: Eukaryota; Metazoa; Chordata; Mammalia; Rodentia; Muridae.
CAGCCUGGUCUACAGAGGAGCAGGCCAGGACAAGCACAAAAGAACAGAAGAGACAAGCAGAGGUGGGGACCAGUGCGGCCGAGGUUGGCAGCACUGAGGACUCAGCAGAAGCCCGUGUUGGGGAGUCACCUUGGCAUCAAUUGGCAGAUGGAGCCGAUAGGGUACCACCACAUCCUAUGUUCCAACUCUCCUGGCCACAGGCUCCCCAGCUCUGGUCCACUCCACUCCAGCUGUACAACCCCCAGCACUAAUCUCGAGGCUUCUCUGAUUGGAUAGGCCUGACUUGGCAUCAACAUCUGGGCCUAUCACUGAUGCCCAGGGGCCAGAACAGCGCCCCCAUUGGCUGACACUUAUGCCACUCCUUGCCUUGUGUCCUGAUCCUCACUCAGCAGUUCUUCCAGGCAGGCAGUAGAGAGCAAAGGUUGAAGGGGCUUUUAUGGCUGACCUGGACUAUGCUAUGGCUGGCAAAGCGGCAGGGACAGGAGCUCUGCAAAAAUUAGUGCCCUGCACUUCCCCACAACAUCUGGAAUCCCAGAAAGCCAAAUGCUGCUAAACAAAGGGACCUUAGCAUAGUAAGGAAGUGAUUUAUAUCUUGGCUAGAAAUGGACACUAGGCAGAGUUGGGCAGGUGCAGGGAAGGAGCCCCUGGGAGCCUGCAGGAGACCGUGGCAAAUACAUGGCUGGGCUCAAAUCCCACCUUUGCUUCUUGGAAACUAUGCACCACCAAGUAAGUUACCCAACACUGAUGGAAGAAUGGUUCUCAACCUGUAAGCCGCAACCCCUUUGGGAUUGAAUAAUUUGUUUACAGGGGUCACCCAAGACCAUCAAAAAACAUAGAUGUUUAUAUCACAAGACAUAACAGUAACAUAACUUCAGCUAUGAAGUAGUAACAAAAAUAACUUUAUGGAUGAAAGUCACCACAACUUGAGGAACUGUAUUAAAAGAUCGCAGUGGUUCAGAGGUUGAGAACCAUUGCUGUAAGAUACUAAGAUUCCUCAUGAGUUAAUGCACACCCUGAACUGCACAGAUCACAUUGCUGUAAGAUACUAAGUAUUCCUCAUGAGUUAAUGCACACCCUGAACUGCACAGAUCACAUUGCUGUAAGAUACUAAGAUUCCUCAUGAGUUAAUGCACACCCUGAACUGCACAGAUCACAUUGCUGUAAGAUACUAAGUAUUCCUCAUGAGUUAAUGCACACCCUGAACUGCACAGAUCACAUUGCUGUAAGAUACUAAGUGUUCCUCAUGAGUUAAUGCACACCCUGAACUGCACAGAUCACAUUGCUGUAAGAUACUAAGUGUUCCUCAUGAGUUAAUGCACACCCUGAACUGCACAGAUCACAUUGCUGUAAGAUACUAAGUGUUCCUCAUGAGUUAAUGCACACCCUGAACUGCACAGAUCACAUUGCUGUAAGAUACUAAGUAUUCCUCAUGAGUUAAUGCACACCCUGAACUGCACAGAUCACAUUGCUGUAAGAUACUAAGUGUUCCUCAUGAGUUAAUGCACACCCUGAACUGCACAGAUCACAUUGCUGUAAGAUACUAAGUGUUCCUCAUGAGUUAAUGCACACCCUGAACUGCACAGAUCACAUUGCUGUAAGAUACUAAGAUUCCUCAUGAGUUAAUGCACACCCUGAACUGCACAGAUCACAUUGCUGUAAGAUACUAAGAUUCCUCAUGAGUUAAUGCACACCCUGAACUGCACAGAUCACAACAGAUACAGACUUGUGCUUUGGUUUGAUUUUGAGACAGGAUCUGUUGUGUUUUAUAAAAAGAACAAAAGAGAGGGCUGGAGAGAUGGC